CUUUGCCUUUCUUGUUAUCUUUAGGUGAGGAGGGGAAUAUGGCACAAUUUUUGUUAAAUAAUUAUUUACAAAUAAUCCAAUUAUUUGCAUUAGGACAUUCCUGUUGAAUCACGGGACACACAGAGGGAGUCUGUAAAAGUGUUGAUUUUACACUGGACUUUUCACCUACAAAGAGCUGCCCAGUAGGGUGAAGUUCAAAGCUCACAAAAGGAGUACAGGGCCUCUUGAAACUGGAAGAAUUCCUGCUUCUUCAAAUUCCAAAUUGGAGCACCAGUCAAGGUGAACCACAGUGAUUGGCCAAAACCGUGGACAAGGACGUGUAACAGAGACUCAGAAAUAAAGGCCAGUGCAAGAAGGACAGGUGCUGUAGCAUAUUGAGCUGGUUGUCUGAGCCCUUACUCUUGCCUGUGUGCACACCAUCAUGACUGGAUGAC
Molecule: long non-coding RNA, 434 nt
Filed under: Macaca mulatta (Rhesus monkey)
Lineage: Eukaryota; Metazoa; Chordata; Mammalia; Primates; Cercopithecidae
Description: lncRNA (ENSMMUG00000055424.1)
Source: RNAcentral